UGACGCUUCACUUUAUCAUAUGAAGCCUUAUGACGCUUCACUUUAUCAUAUGAAGCCUCAUGACGCUUCACUUUAUCAUAUGAAGCCUUAUGACGCUUCACUUUAUAAUAUGAAGCCUUAUAACUCUUCACUUUAUCAUAUGAAGCCUUAUGACGCUUCACUUUAUCAUAUCGCGCCCUAUGAUGCUUCACUUUAUCAUAUGAAGCCUUAUGACGCUUCACUUUAUCAUAUCGCGCCCUAUGAUGCUUCACUUUAUCAUAUGAAGCCUCAUGACAGUUUGCUUUAUCAUAUAAAGCCUUAUGACGCUUCACUUUAUCAUAUGAAGCCUUAUGACGCUUCACUUUAUCAUAUGAAGCCUCACGACAGUUUGCUUUAUCAUAUGAAGCCUCAUGACGCUUCACUUUAUCAUAUGAAGCCUCAUGACGCUUCACUUUAUCAUAUGAAGCCUUAUGACGCUUCACUUUAUCAUAUCGCGCCCUAUGAUGCUUCACUUUAUCAUAUGGAGCCUCAAGACGCUUCACUUUAUCAUAUGAAGCCUCAUGACAGUUUGCUUUAUCAUAUGAAGCCUCAUGAUGCUUCACUUUAUCAUAUGAAGCUUUAUGACGCUUCACCUCCUGACACUUUCCAUGACAUCACUUCACCUCCUGACUCAAAGUGA
Gasterosteus aculeatus (three-spined stickleback) is the source of this 658-nucleotide long non-coding RNA. Lineage: Eukaryota; Metazoa; Chordata; Actinopteri; Perciformes; Gasterosteidae. The record is from Ensembl.